GAACGCUGGCGGCGUGCUUAACACAUGCAAGUCGAACGGUGAAGCUCCAGCUUGCUGGAGUGGAUCAGUGGCGAACGGGUGAGUAACACGUGAGCAACCUGCCCCUGACUCUGGAAUAAGCGCUGGAAACGGCGUCUAAUACUGGAUACGAGAAGGGUCCGCAUGGGCACUUUCUGGAAAGUUUUUCGGUUGGGGAUGGGCUCGCGGCCUAUCAGCUUGUUGGUGAGGUAAUGGCUCACCAAGGCGACGACGGGUAGCCGGCCUGAGAGGGCGACCGGCCACACUGGGACUGAGACACGGCCCAGACUCCUACGGGAGGCAGCAGUGGGGAAUAUUGCACAAUGGGCGAAAGCCUGAUGUAGCGACGCCGCGUGAGGGAUGACGGCCUUCGGGUUGUAAACCUCUUUCAGCAGGGAAGAAGCGAAAGUGACGGUACCUGCAGAAGAAGCACCGGCUAACUACGUG
RNAcentral lists this ribosomal RNA (465 nucleotides) under uncultured bacterium. RNAcentral describes it as "partial 16S ribosomal RNA". It matches the Rfam family "Bacterial small subunit ribosomal RNA", at positions 31 to 507 of the family's 1533-position model. The record is from RNAcentral.